GUUUUGGUUAGUAGACUAUAAAGAUAUAAGAAAAUCAAUUUAAAUUAAUAUUAGAUAAAAGUAAUUGUUAAUGAAAUUUCUAAUUAAACGAUAGUAAAAAGUACUGUAAAGGAAAGUUUAAGUAGCUAUUAAUUAUUAUAGUAAAUAUAAACAAUUGUACCUUGUGUAUUAGGGGAAAUUUAAUUUAAUUAGGUAUAAUUUAAUAAUCCCGAAAUAAAAAUAGCUAAUUUUAUAAAAAAUUUUUAUAGCAAAAAAAUUUUUAAUAUAAAAUUAAAGAUGAAAUGUUAUUCGAGUUUUAUUAUAUCUGGUUUUUUGAAAAAUAAAUUUAAUUUAUAUUUUAAGUAAAGUAAAAUACUUAAAGUUUAAGAGCAGAAGGGAUUAUCUUUUUGUUCAUAAUAUGGUUAGUAAUUUUAUAAAAAAUGAAAUUUUCUAGGCUUGAAAGUAGCUAUGAAAAUAAAGUGUUUUAACGGAGAUUUUAAUAAAAAUAAUUUUUAUAAAAUUUUAUUUUAAAUAUUCAAAAGUUAAUUAAAACUUAAAAAAUAAAGUAACAAUGAUUUUAUUAGUAUAUUUUUAGUUGUUUAGUUGCACUUUAGGAUGAUAAAGUUUGUUUUUAAUAUAAAGGAUAUAACAAAGGAACUCGGCAAAUAUUAAUCUUUGCCUGUUUAUCAAAAACAUGUCUAUUUGUAGAUAAAAAUAGUCUGGCCUGCUCACUGAUAUAUUAAUUUAAGAGCCGCGGUAUAUUGACCGUGCAAAGGUAGCAUAAUCAUUAGUUUUUUAAUUGGGAACUUGUAUGAAUGGUUGGACAAAAGAAAAGCUGUCUGUGUUAUAAAUAUUGAAUUUAACUUUUAAGUGAAAAGGCUUAAAUAAUUUUAAGGGACGAUAAGACCCUAUAAAACUUUAUAUAUUAGUUAAAUUUUAUUAAAUUUUAAAAGUUUAAUUUAACGUUAUAUUUUGUUGGGGAGACAAAGGUAUAAAUAAUAUUAACUGUUUAAUAAAAAAACAAUAAUAUUUGAAUUAGUAAAUGAUCCUUUUUAAAGAGUAAAAGACUAAGUUACUUUAGGGAUAACAGCGUAAUUUCUUUUGAGAGCCCAUAUCGAAAAAGAAGAUUGCGACCUCGAUGUUGAAUUAAAAAGUCUGUUUAGGGCAGCUCCUAAACAAGAAGAUCUGUUCGAUCUUUAAAUUUUUACAUGAUUUGAGUUCAAACCGGUGUAAGCCAGGUUGGUUUCUAUCUUUUUAAAAAAAAAAAUUAUUUUAGUACGAAAGGAUUUAAUAAUUUUAAAAUUUAAUUUAGUUUGAAAU
Molecule: ribosomal RNA, 1299 nt
Filed under: Pilumnopeus makianus
Lineage: Eukaryota; Metazoa; Arthropoda; Malacostraca; Decapoda; Pilumnidae
Description: 16S ribosomal RNA
Rfam family: Archaeal large subunit ribosomal RNA (bases 872-1233)
Source: RNAcentral